UACGGAGGGUGCAAGCGUUAUCCGGAUUCACUGGGUUUAAAGGGUGCGUAGGUGGGUUGGUAAGUCAGUGGUGAAAUCUCCGGGCUCAACCCGGAAACUGCCAUUGAUACUAUCUGUCUUGAAUAUUGUUGAGGUAGGCGGAAUAUAUCAUGUAGCGGUGAAAUGCAUAGAUAUGAUAUAGAACACCGAUUGCGAAGGCAGCUUACUAAACAAUUAUUGACGCUGAGGCACGAAAGCGUGGGGAUCAAACAGG
RNAcentral lists this ribosomal RNA (253 nucleotides) under uncultured bacterium. Its description in RNAcentral is "partial 16S ribosomal RNA". It matches the Rfam family "Bacterial small subunit ribosomal RNA", at positions 524 to 776 of the family's 1533-position model. The record is from RNAcentral.